Molecule: long non-coding RNA, 3291 nt
Organism: Salvia splendens (bonfire salvia)
Lineage: Eukaryota; Viridiplantae; Streptophyta; Magnoliopsida; Lamiales; Lamiaceae
Exons: 3
Source: RefSeq, a predicted model, not a curated record
AGUAGAAUAAGGCCACUGCAGUAAGAUACCAGCAACCAGUCGCGAAAAAUUCACACCACACACACACACUUCGCGAAAAAUUCUCUAGCAGCGGCCAAAUCCUUCGCAAAUUCCUCCGUGUCUUUGUGAUUUCGCCCUCCAUUCAUCAAUCGGUGCUAGUUUUCCCCAAAUUCGUCCAAUUUAUUCGGUAAUUUAUGGCAUCUUCUUCAACUUCUCGUCGUCGGCUCUUAUGUGGUCCUGAGGACCCCUCCGUAUUAUAUCUGCAGAGACAACACGUCUCUAAUAACAUAUGGGCAGGAGUGCCAUCGGAAGACGUACGGUGUAGAAGAUACGAAGGAAUCAUAUGGGAUGUUCCCAUAAAUCCUCGUGUUUUGGCGGUUAUAGAUGAGAUGGGGUUCGGCGGGAUGUUGAGGUGUGGUCAACCGAAAGACAUUGACCACCAUCUUAUCACCGCUUUGAUUGAACGUUGGAGGCCAGAGACUCACACGUUUCACUUUCCAGUCGGUGAAGCGACUGUGAGCUUAGAAGACGUGGAGGUCUUAUGGGGCCACAAAACUGACGGUGAGCCUCUGACGGGUUACAUCCCCACUAAGGAUGUCAACUAUUGGAAGGAUGUUUGUUUGGAUUUUCUUGGCUUUAUUCCAGAUGCAGUUGAUCUAAAAGAAAUGAACUGGAAGCAGACAAGCUAAUCAAAUCAACUGCGGAUUGAGUUGAGUGAUGACCACGAGCAAUACAUGUACAAUCAACGUGCUCGUGUGUAUUGUCUGCUGUUACUGGGUGGUCUACUGAUCCCGAACGCUACCGGUAAUAAAAUUCCCUUCUUCUACCUUCAGUUUUUCAUGGAUAUAGAACAAUGUGGUAGCUAUAGCUGGGGAGGUGCGACUCUUGCCUGCUCGUACCACAAUCUAUGUGAAGCUGCACUUGGUAAGAGGACCGAUGUCGGGGGAGCUCUUACAUUGUUACAGCUGUGGCCUUGUGAAAGAAUCCCAAUUAUUAGACCGCAGAUGCUGAACCUCGCGCCCGUAGACUACUUACCAUGUGUAGUCGCGUAAGUUGUCCACUAAUUACUCUUUUAAGCAUAAUUUUUAUUGAUUUUUGUGUUGUUCGCUCAUAAUUUAAUUUUUGUUGAUGGACUGGUCGGGCCUCUUAUGUAAAAGCACCGGGGCAUUGCAUUGAAACUUUCAGAGAUCAGUUCUCAACAAUGCAUGCCAAUCAGUUUAUUUGGAGGCCGUAUGAAUCGCGAAAUCUGCCGGAUGUUUGGGUUGCCGGUCGUCCUAUAUGGACGUCGAUGACAACACUAAUCUGCUGGAAUAUGGUUGAGCCACACAUGCCACAGCGGGUGUUGCGACAAUUUGGGAUUGUCCAACCUUAUAUCCCGCUUGUCGACCGGUUCCACGGAUCUGAUUUUACGAAACAGGAUCGACGUGGCAAAGCAGGUCGGAACUGGGUUGAGUGGCACGCCAAUCAUAUACAAGAUUGGCAUAAUAGGCACGACACGGUGUAUGUUGAUUUGGAGUACUCAUUGGUGCCUGUUGCUACUGAUGAGUACAUGGAUUGGUUUCGCCGGAUAACCGUGGUGUACCUAACAAAACCUGGGGUGCAUUCUCCUGAGGGCUUCCAUGAAACGGCGGCCUCUCAUCACUACGCGGUAGAUUUCAACAACUAUUCUUUAUUUAUAUUCAUAUGAUGAAAUGUAAUUAACACUGAAAAUUGUAGGUGAAGACCCUUCACAAAAUACGCCACUUUCUUAGGGAGCAAGACAUGUCAGGACGGCCGGAUUUAUUCACCAUUUCGAGAAUGGUUGAAGAUGGCCUCCAGAUAUGUGGGGAAGCUGAGACGAUGGACCAACGUCCUUCACAGCGCUCUGAGCUGGACCUUGACAUGCCCGUGCGGCAAAAAGCGAAGCGGCGUGGAAAGAAGAAAGUUGGUGGAGAGUCGUCAUCAUCAAGGAUGGAUACUCAGUUGGUUGAUGAUUCUGAUGACGAUUUUGUGGCUCCACCUCCACCAAGAUCUGCCGUGCGGGGUCGUCACUCUGUCAGCCACACGGGUGGUACAGGAGAAGAUUUCGGUCUCAGCGAUCAACAAUCUCCACCUCGGUCUUCUGUGAGAGACGACUUUUUUGGUGUUGAUUUAGAGAAUGCCGUCGUUGAAGAUACUCCUCCGUCUAGAAUCCCUAAGACCAGUAUCGGGAAGGGAAUCCGUAGUCUGUUUAUGCGGAAAAGGCGAGACGAGUGAACGCUUUAUAUUAGUAAUUUGAUAUAUUGGUGUUUUUACAUUGAUUUGAACGCUUUAUAUUAGUAAUUUGAUAUAUUGUAUUGAUAUUGGUGUUUUUUCAUUGAUUUGGCGCAUGUAUAUUAGUAAUUUGAUAAAUCCACUUUUUACACGUAUGCAUGUUGAUAAUUUGAACUCUUAUAAUUUUUAUUGGUAAAUUUUUUAAAACACGCAACUCAAGAUGGCGUUUUUAAGUUUAAAAAAUUUUUGCAAUUUUUUGCCACGCCGAGGUUGAGUUUCUGAACAAACACGCCAAGCUUACUAGGAGUUUUUAGAAACACGCCAACGUCAUAGGCGUUUUUCCUUUAAAACGCCUACUUCAGUGGCGUUUUUUAAAACACGCCACUCAAGAUGGCGUUUUCAAGUUUGAAAAUUUUUUGACAAUUUUUUGCCACGCCGAGGUUGAGUUUCUGAACAAACACGCCAAUCGGCGUUGGCGUUUUUAAAACACGCCAACGACAUAGGCGUGUCUAGUUAAAAACGCCUACUUAAGUGGCGUUUUCUACACAAACCCGCCAACUUAGGUUGCGUUUUCAGGAAAAAUGCCAUCUUGAGUGGCGUUUUUAAAUAAACUAAAUUUUACAUUUUGUGUAUUCCAUGACUUGCCAAAAUAUAAGUAAAACGUUACAAUGUUCAAUUCAAUAAAUAACUACGACGCCGCCAAAAUAUAAGUAAAACAGAACAAUGUUCACAUCUGCUAAAUAGUUGUUACACGUUCAAUUGUCUCGCCUUCUCCGCGUAAAGAAACUACGGAUACCCUUUCCGAUUCUGGCGGUUGAGAGUCUAGACGGAGGAGUAUCUUCCACAACAACAUUCUCUAAAUCAACCCCGAAAAAAUCGUCUCGCACAGAAGAUCUAGGCAGAGAAUGUGGGACAUAACUGAGCCCGAUGUCUUCGCCUGUACCACCAGUGUGGCUGACAGAAUGACGACCUCGAACUGCAGAUCUUGGUGGAGGUGGAGGCAUAAAAUCGUGCUCGGCAUCAUCAGUGUGGCUGAUAGAAUGACGACCUCGAACUGCA